AAGACAGUAUAAUUAUUCUCUAGUUACCUUUGCAUGCUGUCAGCAAAAUGUAAAUGCUGUUUUUGUUUUUAUUUGAGAAAUGAUUUGAUUUGGGUGCAGUGAAUACAUCUUUCGUAUAUAUUUCUUUACAUUAAAAGCGAUUAUCUAACGUAGUUUUAUUAGGGUUAAUUCUCUUGUUUUUGUACAUAAUAAAAAAUAAAUGUUCUUAUUAGUCAUCAAUAUGUAUUUCAAUAUCAUCGAGAGAUUUUUAGAAGAAAAAAAGAAAAUGGUUGUCAUCACUUUCACAGCUAAUGCCCCUUUAAAAUAAGAUGUAAGUGCACAGGUAUCUGAAUUUUAAUCUAAUUAGAAAAAAAAAGUGAAGAAAAAAUAUCUAUAUCUAAAUAAAUGGAGAGAGAGAGAGAGAGAGAGAGAGAGAGAGAGAGAGAGAGAGAGAGAGAUUUCUUUUCUUUUCUUUAUUUACAUGUAUAUCUGAACAUUGAUUACAAUUCAGAUACUGGGUUUGUGAGUUGAAAUUAAUCAAAUGAGAGUGGUAAAAAUUCACCUUUAUAUCGUAUAAUUUAUCCAGGUACGUUAUUCUGGUUUGUGGAAUGCUAAUUGAUACUAAGUUAGAAUAAUCUAAGCUGUAUACCAAAGUAGCUCUUCAUGGGGCUUUACGGCUCUAUGCAUCGCAAAUAGAGAUCGGGUUCAAUGCGUCGGGUGUGGGAUUCACUCAAUAUUAUAUGCUGAGCGGGAAAGUUGAUAUCAACAGACGCCAUGAUGUUAUACCGGUAAACAUCUUGAACAUGAAUCGAGAACAGGAGUUGAUGCAGAUAUUCUGAGGAGAAUCUUCCAAUCAUUGAAAUAUAUUUCAUGAUAGUCGUGAAGAUACAGAAGUUGUGAUGGUGUGUUGAUAGGCUGUCUUCAACUUGCCAUAUCUGAGAGUUCCAACAUGCAGGCCUGGAUUAAUGUUUUAUCACAACAAAUGGAUGGGACAGUAGAGUUGUUGCGGACAAUAUGUGACCAAGUACUGAACAAGUGGAAGAUUAGAAGAAGGUCCAGAAUUCAGUCAUGUUUUUGAUUCUAAGGCGCAGACAGCAUGGAGAUAGUCCUAUUAUUCUCCCAUUCAUCUAUGAUGGAGAAACUUGUGUAAAUGUUUACAGUGUUCUCCCUAAUAAGUGCCCACAAUUCUGUAUUAAUUUAUCAGAAUAUAAAGUCCUUCACAGUACUGACUUUAAAAUUCAUGUAGAUUGUCUCCAGAUUUUUCUGAGGAAAAGUGCAUAGUUUACAUGUGUGAAUUUUGAAUAUAUUUCAUUCUUGUCUGCAAAUGUUGCUAAAAACUGUUAUUGAUGCACAAUGCACAUAGUCAUGUUAUGCAAAUGAUGGACCUCCUUUUUAAUUACAUGUCCUUAAGAUCAUGUCAACUCCUUUGUCUUAAUUGUAUAUACAAUUCUAGCAUGUAUAGCAUCAUUUGUAUAGCACUUGCUAGUUUAAUAAGGAUUUUAUUUUUUAAAAACUUUCAUUUGACAUGAUUGAUCUAAAACGGCCAAAAUUCACAAAUCUAUUUAAAUCACAACCUGACCUUAGGCCAGAAAAGUGCCACAGUGGGUUGAUAUUUUUCUCUUGGAUCUUGAAAGAAAUUCUUUAUGAAGCAGUUUCCAAAUAAAAUGUACUCUCAUGGCCAGGGUGGGACUUCACCGAGAACUUUUUAACAUUGCACAAUGCAAUAUUUGUGGAUUAGAAGCUGUUGCAGUUUCUUUAAGUUUUCUCUCACAUCUUGUUAUAAUUAUAUUUUAUAUUUUUGGUCGGGUUACACAAUGUGCAAACAGUUUAUAAAAUGCUGAAUGACUGGUGGGCAAGCGACAAUAGCGUCCCUGUAAUAGUACCUACUUUGUGUAAUCAACUCCUUUCACACCUCUCACUUGAUGUUCCUCAAACUUUGUACAGUUGUUAGGGAUACAUUGAAGAUGUGCGUGUACCUUUUUGAAAGUGAUCAGACAUUUUUUGAAAAAUUUACAUGUAGUUAAACUUCGUCAUUUUUUAAGCAUUUCUUUAAUCGACAGUAUCUAUUUUGUGUAAUCAACUCCUCGUAUACCUCUAAUUUGACAUUCCUCAGACUGUGUACAGUUGUUAUGAAUACAUUGAAGAUGUGCAUAUGUGUUUUUGAAAGUGAUCAGACAUUUUUAAAAAAAAAUGUACAUGUAGUUGAACUUAAGUCAUUUUAAAGCAUUUCUUGAAUAGAUGGUAACUAUUUUGUGUAAUCAAAUCCUCAUGCACCUCUAACUUGACAUUCCUUAAACUUUGUACAGUUGUUAUGAACACAUUGAAGAUGUGCAUGCGUCUUUUUGAAAAUGACUAGACUUCUUUUUUUUUAGAU
This is a long non-coding RNA of Ostrea edulis (European flat oyster), 2353 nucleotides long. RefSeq lists it as uncharacterized. The record is from RefSeq and is a predicted model, not a curated record. The transcript has 3 exons. NCBI's taxonomy places the organism in Eukaryota, Metazoa, Mollusca, Bivalvia, Ostreida, Ostreidae.